UCUAUACUAUAGAGUUUGAUCAUGGCUCAGAUUGAACGCUGGCGGCAUGCCUUACACAUGCAAGUCGAACGGCAGCACGGGGGUAACCCUGGUGGCGAGUGGCGAACGGGUGAGUAAUACAUCGGAAUGUGUCCUGUAGUGGGGGAUAGCCCGGCGAAAGCCGGAUUAAUACCGCAUACGAUCUAGGGAUGAAAGCGGGGGACCUUCGGGCCUCGCGCUAUAGGGGCGGCCGAUGGCGGAUUAGCUAGUUGGUGGGGUAAAGGCCUACCAAGGCGACGAUCCGUAGCUGGUCUGAGAGGACGACCAGCCACACUGGGACUGAGACACGGCCCAGACUCCUACGGGAGGCAGCAGUGGGGAAUUUUGGACAAUGGGCGAAAGCCUGAUCCAGCAAUGCCGCGUGUGUGAAGAAGGCCUUCGGGUUGUAAAGCACUUUUGUCCGGAAAGAAAACGUUCGCACUAAUACUGUGGGCGGAUGACGGUACCGGAAGAAUAAGCAC
RNAcentral lists this ribosomal RNA (500 nucleotides) under uncultured Burkholderiaceae bacterium. RNAcentral describes it as "bacterial SSU rRNA". It matches the Rfam family "Bacterial small subunit ribosomal RNA", at positions 1 to 493 of the family's 1533-position model. Lineage: Bacteria; Pseudomonadati; Pseudomonadota; Betaproteobacteria; Burkholderiales; Burkholderiaceae. The record is from RNAcentral.